Molecule: long non-coding RNA, 1280 nt
Organism: Oncorhynchus tshawytscha (Chinook salmon)
Lineage: Eukaryota; Metazoa; Chordata; Actinopteri; Salmoniformes; Salmonidae
Exons: 4
Source: RefSeq, a predicted model, not a curated record
AGGGAGGUUUAGAGGGGACAGGGGUGAGGCAGGGAUUUGAUAGACAGACAGGGAGGUUUAGAGGGGACAGGGGUGAGGCAGGGAUUUGAUGGACAGACAGGGAGGUUUAGAGGGGACAGGGGUGAGGCAGGGAUUUGAUGGAAAGACAGGGAGGUUUAGAGGGAACAGGGGUGAGGCAGGGAUUUGAUGGACAGACAGGGAGGUUUAGAGGGAACAGGGGUGAGGCAGGGAUUUGAUGGACAGACAGGGAGGUUUAGAGGGAACAGGGGGUGAGGCAGGGAUUUGAUGGACAGACAGGGAGGUUUAGAGGGGACAGGGGUGAGGCAGGGAUUUGAUGGACAGACAGGGAGGUUUAGAGGGGACAGGGGGUGAGGCAGGGAUUUGAUGGACAGACAGGGAGGUUUAGAGGGGACAGGGGUGAGGCAGGGAUUUGAUGGACAGAUAGGGAGGUUUAGAGGGAACAGGGGUGAGGCAGGGAUUUGAUAGACAGACAGGGAGUUUAGAGGGGACAGGGGUGAGGCAGGGAUUUGAUGGACAGACAGGGAGGUUUAGAGGGGACAGGGGGUGAGGCAGGGAUUUGAUAGACAGGGAGGUUUAGAGGGGACAGGGGGUGAGGCAGGGAUUUGAUGGACAGACAGGGAGGUUUAGAGGGGACAGGGGGUGAGGCAGGGAUUUGAUGGACAGACAGGGUAAAUGGGAAGAUGAGUGACGGUAGGGAUAAAUGGGUGACUGUAGGUGUAAGAAUGUAGGGAUGUGCUAUGAAAGCUAAUUUGUCUGCAGACUUCUGAUCUUACAAAUGCAUAUUGUAAAAUAUCAACAAUUAACUUUACUCUUCGGUUUAGCUUGUCUCCUGCUAUGUACGUUGCUAGUGACCAGUCCCUAUCAUAGCGUAUGUAAAUGAUGGAAAAGGAAGUUGAGAGGUAAAACAGGUGAAAUUAACGGUAAAAUAUUCGGGAAAAGCUUAGGAAAGUUUACAACGACAAGUAACAAGAGUACAGGUCAAAUCUGGAUAUUAUGUAGCUCUCUUCAGUGAAAACCAGUCAGUCCUUGUGAACCCCCACCAAUAGAAAUCACAUUGUCUACAAAACAUCUACAAGAACAUAAUAAUGGCAAAACAAAGUGUCUAAACAUUAUUGACCUCCUCAAUAAAGAUGAACAAUAAUGAUUGUAUACUAUAAAUAAUUCAAACACUGAGCUAUAAUCGUAAAAAAACAUUUUUACAAAUAAAUAAAGGAAAAUUAUAUAUUUUUUAUAAGAAUUCAAAUUGCUCAGUAGAUUUU